Etheostoma cragini (Arkansas darter) is the source of this 82-nucleotide long non-coding RNA. RefSeq lists it as uncharacterized. The transcript has 3 exons. The record is from RefSeq and is a predicted model, not a curated record. NCBI's taxonomy places the organism in Eukaryota, Metazoa, Chordata, Actinopteri, Perciformes, Percidae.
UAGACUUGACAGCAGGUAACGUUAGCAUACCGUUAGCAAGUAGCUGGAUUAAACACAUGGAAAGUUAAAAAGAGAGUUAAAC